Molecule: ribosomal RNA, 473 nt
Filed under: uncultured bacterium
Lineage: Bacteria
Description: SSU rRNA
Rfam family: Bacterial small subunit ribosomal RNA
Source: RNAcentral
AGGACGAACGCUGGCGGCGUGCUUAACACAUGCAAGUCGAGCGGAAAGGCCCUUCGGGGUACUCGAGCGGCGAACGGGUGAGUAACACGUGAGUAAUCUGCCCCUAGCUCUGGGAUAGCUCCGGGAAACCGGGAUUAAUACCGGAUACGACCACUUUAGACAUCUGUUGUGGUGGAAAGAAUUUUGGCUAGGGAUGAGCUCGCGGCCUAUCAGCUUGUUGGUGGGGUAAUGGCCUACCAAGGCGACGACGGGUAGCCGGCCUGAGAGGGCGGCCGGCCACACUGGGACUGAGACACGGCCCAGACUCCUACGGGAGGCAGCAGUGGGGAAUAUUGCGCAAUGGGCGAAAGCCUGACGCAGCGACGCCGCGUGGGGGAUGAAGGCCUUCGGGUUGUAACCCCUUCAGCAGGGACGAAGCGAAAGUGACGGUACCUGCAGAAGAAGCGCCGGCUAACGUACGCGCCAGCAGCCGC